This 450-nucleotide ribosomal RNA is filed under the name uncultured bacterium. RNAcentral describes it as "partial 16S ribosomal RNA". It matches the Rfam family "Bacterial small subunit ribosomal RNA", at positions 354 to 796 of the family's 1533-position model. The record is from RNAcentral.
GUGGGGAAUCUUCCGCAAUGGACGAAAGUCUGACGGAGCAACGCCGCGUGAGUGAAGAAGGUUUUCGGAUCGUAAAGCUCUUUCGUUAGGGACGAACGUGCUCUUUGUGAAUAAUGAGGAGUAAUGACGGUACCUAAAUAAGAAGCCACGGCUAACUACGUGCCAGCAGCCGCGGUAAUACGUAGGUGGCAAGCGUUGUCCGGAAUUAUUGGGCGUAAAGCGCGCGCAGGCGGGAUAUCAAGUCUGUCUUAAAAGUGCGAGGCUCAACCUCGUGAGGGGACAGAAACUGGUAUUCUUGAGUGUCGGAGAGGAAAGUGGAAUUCCAAGUGUAGCGGUGAAAUGCGUAGAGAUUUGGAAGAACACCAGUGGCGAAGGCGACUUUCUGGACGAAAACUGACGCUGAGGCGCGAAAGCCAGGGGAGCGAACGGGAUUAGAAACCCCUGUAGUCC